GGGGAGGUAGCUCAGCUGGUUAGAGCGCUGGUCUGUGGAACCAGAGGUCGAGGGUUCGAUCCCCUCCCUCCCUA
Molecule: transfer RNA, 74 nt
Filed under: bacterium
Lineage: Bacteria
Also listed under: 2 other names
Description: tRNA-His
Rfam family: tRNA
About the family: Transfer RNA (tRNA) molecules are approximately 80 nucleotides in length. Their secondary structure includes four short double-helical elements and three loops (D, anti-codon, and T loops).
Source: RNAcentral